GGGACAGUAGCUCAGUGGUAGAGUGCUUGCCUUGCAUGCAUAAGGCCCUGGGUUCGAUUCCUCAGCACCA
This 70-nucleotide transfer RNA is filed under the name Dipodomys ordii (Ord's kangaroo rat). It matches the Rfam family "tRNA". From Rfam's summary of the family: Transfer RNA (tRNA) molecules are approximately 80 nucleotides in length. Their secondary structure includes four short double-helical elements and three loops (D, anti-codon, and T loops). The record is from Rfam by way of RNAcentral. Lineage: Eukaryota; Metazoa; Chordata; Mammalia; Rodentia; Heteromyidae.